RNA transcript from Piliocolobus tephrosceles (Ugandan red Colobus), 744 nucleotides. It is a transcript of the gene named phosducin-like protein 3 pseudogene, with no coding region annotated. The transcript has a single exon. Lineage: Eukaryota; Metazoa; Chordata; Mammalia; Primates; Cercopithecidae. The record is from RefSeq and is a predicted model, not a curated record.
AUGUAUAGACGGCAGAGACUGGCUGAGUGGAAAGCAACUAAACUGAAGAAUAAAUUUGGAGAAGUUUUAGAGAUCUCAGGGAAGGAUUAUGUUCAAGAAGUUACCAAAGCUGGCGAGGGCUUGUGGGUCGUCUUGCACCUUUACAAGCAAGGAAUUCCCCUCUGUGCCCUGAUAAAUCAGCACCUCAGUGGACUUGCCAGGAAGUUUCCUGAUGUCAAAUUUAUCAAAGCCAUUUCAACAACCUACAUCCCCAAUUAUCCUGAUAGGAACCUGCCCACGAUAUUUGUUUACCUGGAAGGAGAUAUCAAGGCUCAGUUUAUUGGUCCUCUGGUGUUUGGCGGCAUGAACCUGACAAGAGAUGAACUGGAAUGGAAAUUGUCUGAAUCUGGAGCAAUUAUGACAGACCUGGAGGAAAACCCCAAGAAGCCGAUUGAAAACGUGUUGCUGUCCUCAGUGCGGCGCUCUGUCCCCCUGAGGAGGGGCAGCAGUUCCGAGGGUGACUGAGGCUACAGCUGCUCUCACAUGCCGAACUUUCCUGUAACAAAUUGUCUGGAUUUUUUAAAAAACGAAAAAGCGAGAAUGAUGAAUCCUUCUGUUUUUUAGUUUUGUAUAAAUUAUGUUUCAAAUCUUUACAUUUUAGAAAUAAUCAUUGCUGGAAAUUCUGUUAAAUAUUUUGGAACUCUUUUUUUUUUAAAUUACAGUAUUUCCUCUAAAAAAAUUAAAACCAGCCAUUUGUAUGGCAAA